RNAcentral lists this ribosomal RNA (467 nucleotides) under uncultured bacterium. RNAcentral's name for it is "SSU rRNA". It matches the Rfam family "Bacterial small subunit ribosomal RNA", at positions 26 to 518 of the family's 1533-position model. The record is from RNAcentral.
AGGACUAACGCUGGCGGCGUGCCUAACACAUGCAAGUCGAACGGGGGUAGCAAUACCCCAGUGGCAGACGGGUGAGUAACACGUGGUCAACCUACCUCUGUGUGGGGGAUAACUAGCCGAAAGGUUAGCUAAUACCGCAUACGAUCGUUUUGAGGCAUCUCGAGACGAUGAAAGGAGCAAUCCGCACGGAGAGGGGACUGCGUCCCAUUAGUUAGUUGGUGGGGUAACGGCCUACCAAGACUCCGAUGGGUAGCUGGCUUGAGAGAGCGACCAGCCACACUGGAACUGAGACACGGUCCAGACUCCUACGGGAGGCAGCAGUGAGGAAUUUUCCGCAAUGGGCGAAGGCCUGACGGAGCGACGCCGCGUGUGGGAUGAAGGCCUUCGGGUCGUAAACCACUGUCGAAGGGGACGAUAUUGACGGUACCCUUGGAGGAAGCCCCGGCUAACUACGUGCCAGCAGCCGC